AAACUCCUGUUUUAACGGUGUUGUCUGAGCUACAAGCAACGAAUCAAAACUUUCAACAACGGAUCUCUUGGUUCUGGCAUCGAUGAAGAACGCAGCGAAAUGCGAUAAGUAGUGUGAAUUGCAGAAUUCAGUGAAUCAUCGAAUCUUUGAACGCACAUUGCGCCCCUUG
RNAcentral lists this ribosomal RNA (169 nucleotides) under Cenococcum geophilum. RNAcentral's name for it is "partial 5.8S rRNA". The stretch from base 48 to 169 matches the Rfam family "5.8S ribosomal RNA", at positions 1 to 122 of the family's 154-position model. Rfam says of the family: 5.8S ribosomal RNA (5.8S rRNA) is a component of the large subunit of the eukaryotic ribosome. The record is from RNAcentral. Lineage: Eukaryota; Fungi; Ascomycota; Dothideomycetes; Gloniales; Gloniaceae.